This is a non-coding RNA of Chiloscyllium plagiosum (whitespotted bambooshark), 657 nucleotides long. NCBI's taxonomy places the organism in Eukaryota, Metazoa, Chordata, Chondrichthyes, Orectolobiformes, Hemiscylliidae. The record is from RefSeq and is a predicted model, not a curated record.
UGUGUGCGGCUUCAACUAAUGUUUCUGCAAUUGAAGCUAUGUGAUGGGGUUAUUGGCUGACUUUGAACAGUCGAGUUGCCUGGCAGCGACUAAAUGAAACAGCCGCCGGAUGCGCCCCAUUGGCCCCAGAAAUAUUCCCUAGUUAGACUUUAAUCUUUAUGCCAGCCUGUACAGGAGGACUUCAAACUAAGAUCAAACCACGGCAGGAAGAUGAACCAUGAGAUCAUUCUUUAUGGGAACCUGAAAAGUGGAGAUAACCGCCGGCCACUGUCAUUUAGAACUCACUAUCGGUUACCAACAAUCAGAACACCAAAGAGCAAUAUGAACAAAUGAUAGCUCAAACCCCAGAAGUUUAACUAGGUACGUGUCAGCUUGUAUAAAACAUCCGUUCACAGUCAGUGAAGUGCCCCCUCGGUGCCCGGGCGGCGGUGUUGCAUCUGCGAGAGUUUCUGAAUGUACAAACGAUUUAGUGAAACUGUAUUUUAAGACCAGCCUGAAGAGCUUGCUACUUGCAAUAUUCACACUAGAUACGUGACUAAAACGAAUUAAGCGAAAAGUUGAAUAAUAAUAUAGGACGGGGCGGCUGGAAUUGUGCACUUUCGUUUAAGAUUAAUAACCCAGAUGGAAGAAAAUCCAAGAGACAGUGUGUGUGAUUUA